RNAcentral lists this long non-coding RNA (509 nucleotides) under Pan troglodytes (chimpanzee). RNAcentral's name for it is "long non-coding RNA NONPTRT010100". Lineage: Eukaryota; Metazoa; Chordata; Mammalia; Primates; Hominidae. The record is from RNAcentral.
UUUUUGAGGAACCGCUAUACUGUUUUCCAUAAUGACUGAACUAUUUUACAUUCCCAUCAACAGUGCACCAGGGUUCUGAUCUGAUUUCUCUAUUACUUUGCCCAACACUUAUUUCUUUAUUUGAUAGUAGCCAUUCUGAUGGGUGUGAGGUAGUAUCUCAUUAUAGUUUUAAUCUGCAUUUCCCUAGUGAUUUGUGGUCACUCAUUUUUACAGAUAAGAAAACCAAGGCCCAGUCAAGUCUUAUAAUUUGUUUGCAACAGAACCCAGAUUGGAAUAAAGGUUUCCCAACAGCCUUUGUUGUUCACCAUGUAUUUCUGUCUCCUUCUCUGUUCAAAUAGCCUCACCUCCAAAUCCCCUCUUCCCCAAUUCCUGUCACACACAUGAAAAAGGGUCUGAAAGGGUGUCAGCUCUAUUUUACAUGAACUCAAUGAGGCUGGGAUUAAAAAAUAUUAGUGUCCCUUAAGCUGGCAAGAGGAGCAGGGUUGAUCAGCCUGUUUCUGGAAAUGUUU